This 442-nucleotide ribosomal RNA is filed under the name Klebsiella pneumoniae. RNAcentral describes it as "bacterial LSU rRNA". It matches the Rfam family "Bacterial large subunit ribosomal RNA", at positions 541 to 987 of the family's 2925-position model. Lineage: Bacteria; Pseudomonadati; Pseudomonadota; Gammaproteobacteria; Enterobacterales; Enterobacteriaceae. The record is from RNAcentral.
AAAAAGAACCUGAAACCGUGUACGUACAAGCAGUGGGAGCACCUUCGGGUGUGACUGCGUACCUUUUGUAUAAUGGGUCAGCGACUUAUAUUCUGUAGCAAGGUUAACCGUAUAGGGGAGCCGCAGGGAAACCGAGUCUUAACUGGGCGUUAAGUUGCAGGGUAUAGACCCGAAACCGGUGAUCUAGCCAUGGGCAGGUUGAAGGUUGGGUAACACUAACUGGAGGACCGAACCGACUAAUGUUGAAAAAUUAGCAGAUGACUUGUGGCUGGGGGUGAAAGGCCAAUCAAACCGGGAGAUAGCUGGUUCUCCCCGAAAGCUAUUUAGGUAGCGCCUCGUGAACUCAUCUUCGGGGGUAGAGCACUGUUUCGGCUAGGGGUCAUCCCGACUUACCAACCCGAUGCAAACUACGAAUACCGAAGAAUGUUAUCACGGGAGACAC